UAGUCCACGCCGUAAACGAUGUGUGCUAGUUGUCGGGGCUUACGGCUUCGGUGACGCAGGGAAACCACUAAGCACACCGCCUGGGGAGUACGGCCGCAAGGUUAAAACUCAAAGGAGUUGACGGGGACCCGCACAAGCGGUGGAGCAUGUUGUUUAAUUCGAAGCAACGCGAAGAACCUUACCCACACUUGACAUCCUUCUUGGGACUUUCAGAGAUGAUUGUCUUCGGUUCGGCCGGGGAAGUGACAGGUGCUGCAUGGCUGUCGUCAGCUCGUGUCGUGAGAUGUUAGGUUAAGUCCUGCGACGAGCGCAACCCUUAUCGUAUGUUGCCAUCAUUUAGUUGGGCACUCGUGCGAGACUGCCGGUGAUAAGCCGGAGGAAGGCGGGGACGACGUCAAGUCAUCAUGGCCCUUACGUGUGGGGCUACAACGUGAAAACUCAAUGGGUAUGACAGUGGGCAGCCACUCCGCGAGGAGGCGCUAAUCCCUAAACGUACUCUCAGUUCGGAUUGUUCU
This 515-nucleotide ribosomal RNA is filed under the name uncultured bacterium. RNAcentral's name for it is "bacterial SSU rRNA". It matches the Rfam family "Bacterial small subunit ribosomal RNA", at positions 791 to 1304 of the family's 1533-position model. The record is from RNAcentral.